UACGUAUGGGGCAAGCGUUAUCCGGAUUUACUGGGUGUAAAGGGAGCGUAGGCGGCAGGGCAAGCCAGAUGUGAAAGCCCGGGGCUCAACCCCGGGACUGCAUUUGGAACUGUGCUGCUAGAGUGUCGGAGAGGCAGGCGGAAUUCCUAGUGUAGCGGUGAAAUGCGUAGAUAUUAGGAGGAACACCAGUGGCGAAGGCGGCUUGCUGGACGGUAACUGACGCUGAGGCUCGAAAGCGUGGGGAGCAAACAGG
This 253-nucleotide ribosomal RNA is filed under the name uncultured Blautia sp. RNAcentral's name for it is "partial 16S ribosomal RNA". It matches the Rfam family "Bacterial small subunit ribosomal RNA", at positions 524 to 776 of the family's 1533-position model. Lineage: Bacteria; Bacillati; Bacillota; Clostridia; Lachnospirales; Lachnospiraceae. The record is from RNAcentral.